This 492-nucleotide ribosomal RNA is filed under the name uncultured bacterium. RNAcentral's name for it is "partial 16S ribosomal RNA". It matches the Rfam family "Bacterial small subunit ribosomal RNA", at positions 29 to 507 of the family's 1533-position model. The record is from RNAcentral.
AGUGAACGCUGGCGGUAGGCCUAACACAUGCAAGUCGAACGGCAGCACAGUAAGAGCUUGCUCUUACGGGUGGCGAGUGGCGGACGGGUGAGGAAUACAUCGGAAUCUACUUUUUCGUGGGGGAUAACGUAGGGAAACUUACGCUAAUACCGCAUACGACCUACGGGUGAAAGCAGGGGAUCUUCGGACCUUGCGCGAUUGAAUGAGCCGCUGUCGGAUUAGCUAGUUGGCGGGGUAAAGGCCAACCAAGGCGACGAUCCGUAGCUGGUCUGAGAGGAUGGUCGCCCACAUUGGAACUGGGACACGGUCCAGACUCCUACGGGAGGCAGCAGUGGGGAAUAUUGGACAAUGGGCGCAAGCCUGAUCCAGCCAUACCGCGUGGGUGAAGAAGGCCUUCGGGUUGUAAAGCCCUUUUGUUGGGAAAGAAAAGCAGCAGGUUAAUACCCCGCUGUUCUGACGGUACCCAAAGAAUAAGCACCGGCUAACUUCGUG